This 76-nucleotide transfer RNA is filed under the name Mycobacteroides abscessus. Its description in RNAcentral is "tRNA-Gly". It matches the Rfam family "tRNA". From Rfam's summary of the family: Transfer RNA (tRNA) molecules are approximately 80 nucleotides in length. Their secondary structure includes four short double-helical elements and three loops (D, anti-codon, and T loops). The record is from RNAcentral. Lineage: Bacteria; Bacillati; Actinomycetota; Actinomycetes; Mycobacteriales; Mycobacteriaceae.
GUGGUAGUCGUAUAGCGGCCUAGUACCUCUGCUUUCCAAGCAGAUGACGCGAGUUCAAAUCUCGCCUACCACACCU